This is a long non-coding RNA of Limulus polyphemus (Atlantic horseshoe crab), 422 nucleotides long. RefSeq lists it as uncharacterized. The transcript has 3 exons. NCBI's taxonomy places the organism in Eukaryota, Metazoa, Arthropoda, Merostomata, Xiphosura, Limulidae. The record is from RefSeq and is a predicted model, not a curated record.
CUCGGAGUAGGAGAGUUCUGACAAUAUGUAGGAGAACAAGCAUGUGGUGGAGAGCUUCGCGCUACGUUCGUUCAGUCGAACUUAUUCUGAGAACGCAUUUCGUAGAUUCUAAAAACUAAAAAUAUUGUUACCUAAGAGGCGCUGUGGUGAAUUAUCAUCUCUGAGAACAAAGCAAGAUACUGAGGUUUCGCAUAACCUCUCUCCAUAAUGUCUGGAAAAGGUUUUGUAAGGGUGAAACUACUCCAAAUAGAAGUUGGAGAUGAAGCAGUCGAAGGCUGCAGUAGUAGUCUCAUCGAUCCUUUCUGCGCUGUCAACUUGAAGGAAACAGUAGACAGUCCUGGAAAAGGAGUCCAACUAGUCCAACGUAAUGAGACUUUAUAUCCGGAGUGGAAUUCAUGUUUUGACGUGCCGCUUUUCCGAGG